UCUUGAUUAGUGGCGCACGGGUGAGUAAUGCAUAGAUAAUGUGCCCCUUAGUUCGGGAUAGCCACUGGAAACGGUGAUUAAUACCGGAUACUCCUUCUUGUUAUAAGACAAGUCGGGAAAGUUUUUCGCUAAGGGAUCAGUCUAUGUUCCAUCAGCUUGUUGGUGAGGUAAUGGCUCACCAAGGCUAUGACGGAUAUCUGGUUUGAGAGGAUGAUCAGACACACUGGAACUGAGACACGGUCCAGACUCCUACGGGAGGCAGCAGUGAGGAAUAUUGCACAAUGGAGGAAACUCUGAUGCAGCAACGCCGCGUGGAGGAUGACGCAUUUCGGUGUGUAAACUCCUUUUAUUAGGGAAGAUAAUGACGGUACCUAAUGAAUAAGCACCGGCUAACUCCGUGCCAGCAGCCGCGGUAAUACGGAGGGUGCAAGCGUUACUCGGAAUCACUGGGCGUAAAGGGUGCGUAGGCUGGCUUUUAAGUCAGAUGUGAAAUCCAAUGGCUCAACCAUUGAACUGCAUUUGAAACUGAAAGCCUAGAGUUCAGAAGGGGCAGAUGGAAUUAGUGGUGUAGGGGUAAAAUCCGUAGAUAUCACUAGGAAUAUCAAAAGCGAAGGCGAUCUGCUGGGAUGAUACUGACG
RNAcentral lists this ribosomal RNA (638 nucleotides) under uncultured bacterium. RNAcentral's name for it is "bacterial SSU rRNA". It matches the Rfam family "Bacterial small subunit ribosomal RNA", at positions 86 to 745 of the family's 1533-position model. The record is from RNAcentral.